Molecule: non-coding RNA, 30 nt
Filed under: Mus musculus (house mouse)
Lineage: Eukaryota; Metazoa; Chordata; Mammalia; Rodentia; Muridae
Source: RNAcentral
UAGGACUGUUUAGACUUUACUAUUCCCACC